GGGCAAUGGCGGGCGCCCCUCCCCCAGCCUCGCUGCCGCCUUGCAGUUUGAUCUCAGACUGCUGUGCUAGCAAUCCGCGAGACUCCGUGGGGUAGGACCCUCCGAGCCAGGUGCGGCAUAUAAUCUCGUGGUGCGCCGUUUUUUAAGCCCGUGGGGAAAGCGCAGUGUUCUGGUGGGAGUGACCCGAUUUUCCAGGUGCCGUCCGUCACCCCUUUCUUUGACUAGGAAAGGGAACUCCCUGACCCUUGCUCUUCCCGAGUGAGGCAAUGCCUCGCCCUGCUUCGGCUCGCGCAGGGUGCGCGCACCCACUGACCUGCGCCCACUGUCUGGCACUCCCUAGUGAGAUGAACCCGGUACCUCAGAUGGAAAUGCAGAAAUCAACCAUCUUCUGUGUCGCUCACGCUGGGAGCUGUAGACCGGAGCUGUUCCUAUUUGGCCAUCUUGGCUCCUUCCUCAUCCUUAUUCAAUUCUUGAACGGGCCAUCACCGUCUUCAUAAAGAGAGCCAGUGACAAGUCCUGCCCUGGGACCUAGGAAAGACCCAAGAAGCCAGGAUUAUCCAGAACCCCAGAUCUGCUGACUCCUCCAUGUCCCCCGCCAAGGCUGGAGAAAGGCAGAACACUAACCUGAGACAGGUUCCACACAAAAAUAACUGAAGAUGGGCCUCCAGUCUUACGACGCCACAAAGUGCCCUGACACCACUGAACACGAAAACUCAUUGCAGAGGCUCCCAACUUGAACUUGCUAUCUACUGCUGGGAACAAGAUGUCUGGGCAUGUAUGGAGGAUCAGAAUGAUGGAUGAGCCACGAUCUGUUGGGAAAGUGGCUCCACAGUGUCUGGGGACGACGUGUCCCCCAGCAAACCAGCCUGUUAAGAACUUGGUCCAGGAACACCACUGUCAUGCCAUCAGGGUAAGGGCUUUGACGUCCAGGUGCUAGGUAGAGCCAGGACUGCAAGUUGAAAGGCUUUCACUCAAGGUCUCCUUCAGGAUUGGGAGCACAAGGCAACCUUGCUCUAUGACCAACAGAAAAGAGAAACCCAAAGGCUGCAGGGAAGCCCACCCCGGCAGCUACAGAGCACUUGCACCUGAAGUCUGUGAGUAGAAUUUCGGAGGUCUGCAAACUUAGAUGGGAAAAAUUAUAUUCAUAUUUUUACUAAUUGCAGCCUUAAAUUUGCAUUUCAUUCUAUUGUGACAUGGGAAACAAAUCUCAGUAUUAUAUGCAGUAUCUAUUUAUCUAUCUAUCUAUCUAUCACCUAUCAUGUAUCUAUCCAUCUCUAUCUAAUUAUCAUCUAUCUAUAUAUCUAUCUCUAAUCUAGUUUACCAUCUAUCAUGUAUUUAUCAUCUAUCUCUAAUCUAUCAUCUAAUCUAAUCUAAUCUAUCAUCUCUAUCAUUCAUCUAUCUAUAUUUUCUAUCUAUAUCCAUCCAUCCAUUUAUAUCUAUCAAUUAUCUGUCUAUUCUCAUCAUGUAUUUGUCUAUCCAUCUAUCUUUCUAAUCUAUCAUUUACCUAUCUAUCCAUCCAUUUACAUCUAUCUAUUUACCUAUAUGUCUAUCAAUCAAUCAAUUAUCUAUCUAUUCCCAUCAUGUAGCUAUCUAUCCAUCUAUCUCUCUAAUCUAUCUAUCAUCUUUCUAUAUCUAUCUCAAUCCAUCCAUCCAUCCAUCCAUUCAUCUAUAUCUAUCAUCUAUAUCUAUCUAUCAUCUAUAUCUAGCUAUCUAUCCUUCUAUCUCUCUAAUCUAUCUAUCAUCUUUCUAUAUCUAUCUCAAUCCAUCCAUCCAUCAAUCCAUUCAUCUAUAUCUAUCUAUCAUCUAUAUCUAUCUAUCAUCUAUAUCUAUCUAUCUAUCUGUAUCUCUCUAUCUAUCUAUUUAUCUUUAUGGUUUUAUUCCUAAUUGAAAACACAGGUGCAUCUCUAUCACAUUACAACAGUUAUAGAUACUUCAAAAUAUUUGCGUUCAUUGUUACUUUAAAGUUAUGGUAGAUAUGACACUCAAAGAAAGAUCUCCUAUAAUGUGUUAAUAAAGAUGCAUGGGUACC
This 2029-nucleotide long non-coding RNA is filed under the name Homo sapiens (human). RNAcentral describes it as "HSALNT0253556". The record is from RNAcentral. Lineage: Eukaryota; Metazoa; Chordata; Mammalia; Primates; Hominidae.